This 91-nucleotide transfer RNA is filed under the name Gammaproteobacteria bacterium. RNAcentral's name for it is "tRNA-Ser". It matches the Rfam family "tRNA". From Rfam's summary of the family: Transfer RNA (tRNA) molecules are approximately 80 nucleotides in length. Lineage: Bacteria; Pseudomonadati; Pseudomonadota; Gammaproteobacteria. The record is from RNAcentral.
GGAGAGAUGGCAGAGUGGUCGAUUGCGCUAUCUUGGAAAGGUAGUGAACGUUGAUAGCGUUCCGAGGGUUCGAAUCCCUCUCUCUCCGCCA